GAUGAACGCUGGUUGCGUGCCUAACACAUGCAAGUCGAGCGAUUCUCUUCGGAGAAGAGCGGCGGACGGGUGAGUAACGCGUGGGUAACCUGCCCUGUACACACGGAUAACAUACCGAAAGGUAUGCUAAUACGAGAUAACAUGCUUUUAUCGCAUGGUAGAAGUAUCAAAGCUUUUGCGGUACAGGAUGGACCCGCGUCUGAUUAGCUAGUUGGUGAGGUAACGGCUCACCAAGGCGACGAUCAGUAGCCGACCUGAGAGGGUGAUCGGCCACAUUGGAACUGAGACACGGUCCAAACUCCUACGGGAGGCAGCAGUGGGGAAUAUUGCACAAUGGGCGAAAGCCUGAUGCAGCAACGCCGCGUGAGCGAUGAAGGCCUUCGGGUCGUAAAGCUCUGUCCUCAAGGAAGAUAAUGACGGUACUUGAGGAGGAAGCCCCGGCUAACUACGUG
RNAcentral lists this ribosomal RNA (452 nucleotides) under uncultured bacterium. RNAcentral's name for it is "partial 16S ribosomal RNA". It matches the Rfam family "Bacterial small subunit ribosomal RNA", at positions 28 to 507 of the family's 1533-position model. The record is from RNAcentral.